Molecule: ribosomal RNA, 119 nt
Filed under: Pteropus alecto (black flying fox)
Lineage: Eukaryota; Metazoa; Chordata; Mammalia; Chiroptera; Pteropodidae
Also listed under: 1 other name
Source: RNAcentral
GUCUACGGCCAUGCUACCCUGAACAAACCCUAUACUGUCUGAUCUCGGAAGUUAAGCAGGGUCGGGCCUGUUUAGUACUUGGAUAGGAGACCACCUAGGAAGACCAGGUGCUGUAGGCA